This 807-nucleotide long non-coding RNA is filed under the name Chrysemys picta bellii (western painted turtle). RNAcentral describes it as "lncRNA (ENSCPBG00000015497.1)". Lineage: Eukaryota; Metazoa; Chordata; Testudines; Emydidae. The record is from RNAcentral.
UGAACAAGCGGCGGACCGGCUUUGAGAAGCACUGAUCUAGACCCUCCUUGAUUGGUGUUUGUCUACCAUUACUUCAAAAAGAUCCUACGCUAGAACCUCAGGUUACGAACACCAGAGUUACAAACUGACCAGUCAACAACACACGUCAUUUGGAACCGGAAAUCUGCAUUCAGGCAGCAGUAGAGACAAAAAAUAUUAAUAAAUACCACAUAUUACUGUGUUAAAUGUAAACUACUAAAAAAAGAAAGGGAAAGUUUAAAAAAAGAUUUGACAAGGUAAGAAAACUGUUUCUAUGCUUGCUUCAUUUAAAUUAAGAUGGUUAAAAGCAACAUUUUUCUUCUCCAUAGCAAAGUUUCAAAGCUGUAUUAAGUCAAUGUUCAGUUGUAAACUUUUGAAAGACCAAUCAUAAUAUUUUAUUCAGAGUUACGAACAUUUCAGAGUUAUGAACCUUCAUUCCCGACGUAUUUGUAACUUACGUUCUACUGUAUUUUCUUCCCUUUUAGUAUGUCUCCUUUCAACAGCAUCUCUCAUCUUCUGCAUCUUCAUCCUCCUCAAGAAUGUGAUAUUCAUGGCCCAUCAGCUAGAAGACUGCAAAUGAUGUACAGGGGCUACAAGCAAAAGCAGACUGGGAUUGGUAAAAACUGGGCUCCAAUGGGGUGAAGUGUUAAGAAGCUCUGACCGACACACAGAUGAAGAUUAAACAGUGAAUUUCUCAUUCAAAUCAAUGGAGUAAGAACACUGUAUGGUCCUGAGUCAUCAAUUAACAAACAAUGUUAUUACCUAAUAAAGCUAAUGCUGAUUAGACCA